CCCUUAGAUGUUCUGGGCCGCACGCGCGCUACACUAACGAAUGCAACGAGCUUAUAACCUUGGCCGAAAGGUCUGGGUAAUCUCCAAAUUUCGUCGUGAUGGGGAUAGAUUAUUGCAAUUAUUAAUCUUCAACGAGGAAUGCCUAGUAAGCGCAAGUCAUCAGCUUGCGUUGAUUACGUCCCUGCCCUUUGUACACACCGCCCGUCGCUCCUACCGAUUGAAUGGUCCGGUGAAGCGUUCGGACCGUGGCCUUUGGACGGUUCGCCGUCUGUUGGCUGCGGGAAGUUCGUUAAACCUUAUCAUUUAGAGGAAGGAGAAGUCGUAACA
RNAcentral lists this ribosomal RNA (327 nucleotides) under uncultured eukaryote. RNAcentral describes it as "partial 18S ribosomal RNA". It matches the Rfam family "Eukaryotic small subunit ribosomal RNA", at positions 1470 to 1796 of the family's 1831-position model. The record is from RNAcentral.